CAUGCAAGUCGAGCGGUAAGGCCCUUCGGGGUACACGAGCGGCGAACGGGUGAGUAACACGUGAGCAACCUGCCCCUGACUCUGGGAUAAGCGGUGGAAACGCCGUCUAAUACCGGAUACGACCCGCCACCUCAUGGUGGAGGGUGGAAAGUUUUUCGGUCAGGGAUGGGCUCGCGGCCUAUCAGCUUGUUGGUGGGGUAACGGCCUACCAAGGCGAUUACGGGUAGCCGGCCUGAGAGGGCGACCGGCCACACUGGGACUGAGACACGGCCCAGACUCCUGCGGGAGGCAGCAGUGGGGAAUAUUGCGCAAUGGGCGAAAGCCUGACGCAGCGACGCCGCGUGGGGGAUGACGGCCUUCGGGUUGUAAACCUCUUUUACCACCAACGCAGGCUCCCAGUUCUCUGGGGGUUGACGGUAGGUGGGGAAUAAGGACCGGCUAACUACGUGCCAGCAGCCGCGGUAAUACGUAGGGUCCGAGCGUUGUCCGGAAUUAUUGGGCGUAAAGAGCUCGUAGGCGGCGUGUCGCGUCUGCUGUGAAAGACCGGGGCUUAACUCCGGUUCUGCAGUGGAUACGGGCAUGCUAGAGGUAGGUAGGGGAGACUGGAAUUCCUGGUGUAGCGGUGAAAUGCGCAGAUAUCAGGAGGAACACCGGUGGCGAAGGCGGGUCUCUGGGCCUUACCUGACGCUGAGGAGCGAAAGCAUGGGGAGCGAACAGGAUUAGAUACCCUGGUAGUCCAUGCCGUAAACGUUGGGCGCUAGGUGUGGGGACUUUCCACGGUUUCCGCGCCGUAGCUAACGCAUUAAGCGCCCCGCCUGGGGAGUACGGCCGCAAGGCUAAAACUCAAAGGAAUUGACGGGGGCCCGCACAAGCGGCGGAGCAUGUUGCUUAAUUCGACGCA
Molecule: ribosomal RNA, 901 nt
Filed under: Nocardiopsis dassonvillei
Lineage: Bacteria; Bacillati; Actinomycetota; Actinomycetes; Streptosporangiales; Nocardiopsidaceae
Description: bacterial SSU rRNA
Rfam family: Bacterial small subunit ribosomal RNA
Source: RNAcentral